CUGUCAUAUUGGCCAUAACUAGUGUCAUAUUCAUUGUACGCAUUGUCAUGGUGUUAUGGAAGCACAACAACAAACCGUUUUACGGAGAAGAGGAGCUCAUGUCUCCAGUGGACAUCGCCAGAACACAGAAGCUCAUCUUCAUGUAGGAAGAAGAGAGCCGAUGCGGAGAUUCACGUGCCCCCUUGUUUGAAUGUUGUUUUCCUAAACGUUUAAUGGCUGAGACGUGAUCAAACUCUCCCUGUGUUGGAUUCAUAAGGCUUUGCUUCAGAAAGACAUGUAGGUGAUGAUUUAGGCUAGUAGUGCCUUUGUACCGUACAGAUUGAGCUCAUAACCAUUGGCCAAGCUAAUGUCUUUUUCGAAAUCAUAUCAAUGACUGUGUGUGAUAAAACUAUGGACCGGCAUUCUCUCAUGACCGCAAUACUAAUUCAAUGGCAUUAAUGUGAUUGUGUUCUUUUUUUAAAUGUAUUUAGUUAACCUUUAACUUCCACCAUAUUGUUUUUAUACCAGGAUCUGAUCUGCCUUUUGUGUUUUGACGUUUUGUUUUAGGUGCUAUACUGUACAACAAUUUGGACUGCAUUUAUGUAUGAAUGAAGCUAUAGAAAUAAAGUGUAUUAUUAUACUUACCAACGCACUUGUCUGUAAAUGCUAUUGUGAUUUAACAAUAGUAAAUACAACCGUGUGCCACUGUGCAGUAGUAGGAGCACCCAUUGGUUAGACUCCAUGGGGAAAAAUAACCACACACACACAAACACAGUAAACCAUGAUACACUGACUGAAACAGUGCCAUCAUCCAAAGUCCAAUGCACCAGAUCCAAGAUAGUGUGUGUUUAUAAAAGAGUGUUGGUGUGUGAGGCAAGCGUUCUACAGUUGAUCGCUCGACAGGGAGGAUGUACCGCUCCCGUGUGUCUCCGUAUGGCCAGGGCAGUAUGGAGCGACAUCAUCACCAUGUGGUCCUACACGGUGUGUGUAUCGCUCUGGCCAUGUUUAGCCAGGUGGCUUCCGAGACCUUCCAUGUUCUAGCAUCAGGGACCAACUCUGGCGGUCUGUUUAUGACCACAUUGGACAAUGUCUCUGAGUCCUUUCCUCUGGAGGUGACCAUGGACUGCUGGGCAGACAACACCUGGAUCAUGCUCCGGCUAUGGAGCAGUGCUUGGCUCAUACACUCUCUUUUUACUGUGUUCCAGAGGAAUGUGUUUGGUCCAGUCUCCUGCAACCCUGAGAUUCACCCUCCGUCAUUCUAUCUGAUCUGGACUAUGAUCAACGUGGCAAAGAUCACCUGGCUGUUUCUCUGGGACAGGCAUGACCUUCUACCAUCCCUGUUUUUUAAAUGGGUUAUGCCAAUUCAUAGCUUCCAAAUGCUGUAUGUGUCCUACCGAAACCUGCACAAUCACAGAACCUGGCUGGCCAUCAAUAACCCUAAAGAACCCUGGUGGACCCGCUAUCUGACCCAGAACGGACUGGCUGUAUUUGGCUGGUGGACUCUCCUGGAGGCCCUGGUCAGUCUGGGAGUUGUGCUGAGGUACCAGGCUGGGCUACCUGAUCCUCUGGUCAGCUCAAUGGUGCUCACUCUACUUCUCCUGGGGAUGCUCAUCUGGUUUGUCUUUGAGAGCUUCAUAUUCUCCAAGUACAUCCGCUACACGUUUACUGUCUACCCUGUGUUGAUUGUGGGCCUGGGAGCCAUGUUCACCAGAAGCUAUCGUGUCCAUGACCUUGCUCCUAACACAGUCUACUGUGGCUUCCUUAUGCUUGCGGCAACUGUCCUGAACUGUAUCCGUUUGAUCGCUGCAUGCUUUUACCCAGAUGACACUUCCAGCUAUUUGACCAAGGAGCCCAACCGUCAACCUGACUUCUGCAAGACUGUAUGCCAACCGAUGGGGAAGGACAGCACGAUGGCUUCACAAACUGGUUUUGUGAAUCCUGUCUUCUGUAAUAACUUAGACAAUUAACAGAGGGUACGGUGUCCAUAUUAGGACAGAAACGACUCCUGUUGAGGAUUUACCCAAAGUGAAUUGUUUUGCAUGUAAAUAAUUUUGAUACUGAUUAAUGUUAUUUUCUGUAAGAAUGGACAUUGUUCUCUUGGUGAUGGAUAGCUAGAGCUUGAGUUAACUCUAAGCUUAGAGUGUUGACAUGCCUUCACAUUCAUCACGAACAAAUAGAUUCCAAACAGUCGCUUAACAAUUCAGAAUGUUGAAUAAACUUUAUUUGAACUCACUUUACCGGUUUUCACUGAGUUCGUCCUUAUUGUCGUUGUAAAUUUGAUGAUUUGAUGAUUCCCAAACAAAUUUCCUGAGUUUGAGCAAUUUUGACAAUCAUUGUUUUUCUACUUCUAAUACUCGAUGUGUCAAAAUAUCCAAUCGCACAGGUCGAGUGACAAAUGAGGUGAGCACCUCUCCUCCAUAAAGGGAGCCACUCGCUCACCAGCUGGUCAUUCUCACCUCUCUUCCUUGCGGAAGUGACUGCGUUCAUAAAAGCAUUCCUCAGCAUGGCUAGAUUCCUGGCUUCCUACUGAUGUUUAGAGGUUAAUGCUGCCGAACAUUGAACUUCAGCUCCUGUCGAUAGUAUUGAGUCAGUCUCCAUUUAGUCAGUCAUCAGUCUCCAUUUAGCUAGUGCCACACAGCUAGCUUUUGAGACUUGGUUAGCCCUAGGCGCAAGGCUUUAGCUAACUUGGCUAGCUAGCUGCAAGGCUAGUUUACCACACAAAGGACUAGCUAUCGCUGCAAGGCUUAACCUAGCCUGUGUAACUCACAAGGCUAGCUACACCAAACUAGCUUUUCUACCUACACAAGUAGAAUUGCUAGCUUUCCUCUCGCAUUUAGCACAAACCCCUCAUGGGCCAUGUUGACUAGACUGACAGCACUAGCUUCACAGCAUGACGAUCGAGAGACCCGCUUUGUUCGUGGAGAAACAAAGAAAGCACGCACUUUCUCUGGCUAGUAGUGUGCUAACGAGAUAGGCUAUUAGCCUUGAGGCGAAAGCUAGCUAGCUCACACUUUACUCAAGGAAUACUACUUCUCAGAUCCAUGGAGCCUGCUACCCAUGCACAGGGAGAACCUAGCAGGCCUCCUGCAGGGCGAUGAUAGCAGGCAAGGAUAUACACCAGAUAUGUAUCGCCUGCUUGGGUUUUGAGCAUGCUGUGGCAUCACUCGCUAACGCCAAGUUCUGCGUGCACUAUAGGGCACUGUCUGCAAACCCCCUUCACUGGCGAGUACACCAAGCAAACCCCAAACCAUACUUGUCACUAGUGAUGUUACAUUUGAUACCGGAGCUCCAAGGCAUUCGUGUCGAAAUCACUAUUCAGUGUACUUUGACCUCCUCCCUAUAGGCUGUCUCAUCAUUGUCGGUGAUCAGGCCUACCACUGUUGUGCAAACUUAAUAAUGGUGUUGGAGUCGUGCCUGGCCGUGCAGUUGUGAGUGAACAGGGAGUACAGGAGGAGGCUGAGCACGAACACCUGGGGGGGCCCCCGUGUUGAGGAUCAGCGUGACGGAGGUGUUACGUAUUCCAGGAUCCAGUUGCAGAGGGAGGUGUUUAGUCCCAGGGUCCUUAGCAAUGAGCUUUGAGGGCACUAUGGUGUUGAACUUUGAGCUGUAGUCAAAGAAUAGUAUUCUCAUAUAAGUGCUCUUUUUGUCCAGUUUGGACAAGCCUUUCAACGCAUUUCAUGGCUACAGACAUGAGUGCUAUGGGUCGGUAGUCAUUUAGGCAGGUUACCUUAGUGUUCUUGGGCACAUGACCUAUUCGUGGUCUGCUUGAAAGAUGUUGGUAUUACAAACUCCGACAGAGGUUGAAAAUGUCAGUGAAGACACUUGCCAGUUGGUCAGCGCAUGCUCGGAGUACAUGUCCUGGUAAUCCGUCUGGUCCAGCGGCCUUGUGAAUGUUGACUUGUUUAAAGGUCUUACUCACAUCGGCUGCGGAGAGCGGGUUCACACAGUCUUCUGGAACAGCUGAUGCUCUCAUGCAUGUUUCAGUGUUACUUGCCUCGAAGUGAGCAUAGUUAUUUAGCUCAUCUGGUAGGCUCGUGUCACUGGGCAGCUCUCGGCUGUGCUUCCAUUUGUUUCUACUCCAGGGAAGAGUCCUGGUUCCCAGGGGGGCAUUGCAUACGCUCCAUUCUGGACCUAAGGAUCCGCAACAGCGUCCAUCAUGUUCCGUAUACUUACAUACAAUGUGCUGUUUUGUUUUAUUUGUCAAGGCAACUGGUUCAGUUCAGCUGACCUACAGGGCGCUUAUUUUCAUAUAAGCAUUCUGCCAGCACACAGGAUUAUUUUCAGGUUUUCUUUCGAAGCACAGCCUACAAAUACCUUGCUGUUCCCUUCGGGCUAGCACUUGUUACCAGUUUGUUCAGCAAGUUUGUGGAAGCGUCUCUAUCACCCCUGAGAACCAGGGGGCUAAGAAUCUCCGCCUACACAGACAAUUACCAGCUUUGAUCCCCUACACAGUGUUGCCAGCGGUUGUUUCCUCGAAAGUGACAUUGAGUUUGAAUUUCAUCUCCAUCGUUUUGAAAGUGCUCUGGGAUUUUACAAAGAUCAUUCCUUGGUCAUCCAUGUUGAUGAUCAGACUGGGCUUGAUGUGGUUUCCCACCUGUCGGGUCGUGAAGCCAACACCUGCACAAUGGAGAACAAACUGUCAAGAGGGAUCCUUUGACAGUAUCGUGUGGUGCAACCAAAGGCAUUGUCCAUGUGUAAUAACUAUACAUAGAAAUGAUUAUCCUAAUGAGAUCUUAAGAUUGUAUCAGAAAUAUAUUCUUAAAAAAAAAAAAAAAACAUAUUUCAGCAAUCAAAUCAAAUCAAAUCAAAUUUUAUUUGUCACAUACACAUGGUUAGCAGAUGUUAAUGCGAGUGUAGCGAAAUGCUUGUGCUUCUAGUUCCGACAAUGCAGUAAUAACCAACAAGUAAUCUAGCUAACAAUUCCAGAACUACUGCCUUAUAGACACAAGUGUAAGGGGAUAAAGAAUAUGUACAUAAAGGUAUAUGAAUGAGUGAUGGUACAGAGAGGCAUAGGCAAGAUACAGUAGAUGGUAUUGAGUACAGUAUAUACAUAUGAGAUGAGUAUGUAAACAAAGUGGCAUAGUUAAAGUGGCUAGUGAUACAUGUAUUACAUAAAGAUGCAGUAGAUGAUAUAGAGUACAGUAUAUACGUAUACAUAUGAGAUGAAUAAUGUAGGGUAUGCAAACAUUAUAUUAGGUAGCAUUGUUUAAAGUUUAAAGUUGCUAGUGAUAUAUUUUACAUCAAUUCCCAUUAUUAAAGUGGCUGGAGUUGAGUCAGUGUGUUGGCAGCAGCCACUCAAUGUUAGUGGUGGCUGUUUAACAGUCUGAUGGCCUUGAGAUAGAAGCUGUUUUUCAGUCUCUCGGUCCCAGCUUUGAUGCACCUGUACUGACCUCGCCUUCUGGAUGAUAGCGGGGUGAACAGGCAGUGGCUCGGGUGGUUGUUGUCCUUGAUGAUCUUUAUGGCCUACCUGUGACAUUGAGUGGUGUAGGUGUCCUGGAGGGCAGGUAGUUUGCCCCCGGUGAUGCGUUGUGCAGACCUCACUACCCUCUGGAGAGCCUUACGGUUGUGGGCGGAGCAGUUGCCGUACCAGGCGGUGAUACAGCCCGCCAGGAUGCUCUCGAUUGUGCAUCUGUAGAAGUUUGUGAGUGCUUUUGGUGACAAGCCGAAUUUCUUCAGCCUCCUGAGGUUGAAGAGGCGCUGCUGCGCCUUCUUCACGAUGCUGUCUGUGUGGGUGGACCAAUUCAGUUUGUCUGUGAUGUGUACGCGAGGAACUUAAAACUUACUACCCUCUCCACUACUGUUCAAUCGAGGUGGAUAGGGGGGUGUUCCCUCUGCUGUUUCCUGAAGUCCACAAUCAUCUCCUUAGUUUUGUUGACGUUGAGUGUGAGGUUAUUUUCCUGACACCACACUCCGAGGGCCCUCACCUCCUCCCUGUAAGCCGUCUCGUCGUUGUUGGUAAUCAAGCCUACCACUGUUGUGUCGUCCGCAAACUUGAUGAUUGAGUUGGAGGCGUGCGUGGCCACACAGUCGUGGGUGAACAGGGGGUACAGGAGAGGGCUCAGAAUGCACCCUUGUGGGGCCCCAGUGUUGAGGAUCAGCAGGGUGGAGAUGUUGUUGCCUACCCUCACCACCUGGGGGCGGCCCGUCAGGAAGUCCAGUACCCAGUUGCAAAGGGCGGGGUCGAGACCCAGGGUCUCGAGCUUGAUGACGAGCUUGGCGGGCACUAUGGUGUUAAAUGCCGAGCUGUAGUCGAUGAACAGAAUCAUUGAAAAUUGUGUUUUACAUCAAUAAAAUUGUGUUUUACAUCAAUAAUUAUUGCAUGUUUUCUAAGCUCCAUUCCUGGUAGGCCUACACAUGCAUAGUAUUUUCUGUUGGUCAUGUCAUUUUACUGUUUGGAACUAAUUUAAUUGUUCGGUAGACAGUUGUUGUGCAAUAGUUAGUUGGCAAUUAAAUUAACCGAAAUAUGCAGCCCCUAUAAAAUUUUGUUGGGUAUCAUUGAUGGACAGCAAUAUUCAAACCUUGUCUUUGUUUUUCAAGUAGAUUUAAGUCAGGACUGAGACUGGACCAUUCAGGAACACUCAACACCUCUUGGAAAUCCAUUCUCGUGUUUCUAGGAUAGAGUUUAUUUUGCAGAAAGUGGCCUACACAAAUUUGAAUGCCAAAGACACACCAGAAUUGGCCUGGGUGGCAGUCUGUUUCUGCUCAAUUGCC
Molecule: long non-coding RNA, 6690 nt
Filed under: Oncorhynchus mykiss (rainbow trout)
Lineage: Eukaryota; Metazoa; Chordata; Actinopteri; Salmoniformes; Salmonidae
Description: lncRNA (ENSOMYG00000049480.1)
Source: RNAcentral